This 253-nucleotide ribosomal RNA is filed under the name uncultured bacterium. RNAcentral describes it as "partial 16S ribosomal RNA". It matches the Rfam family "Bacterial small subunit ribosomal RNA", at positions 524 to 776 of the family's 1533-position model. The record is from RNAcentral.
GACAGAGGCCUCGAGCGUUAGGCGGAAUCACUGGGCUUAAAGCGUGUGUAGGCGGAAGCGUAAGUACCUUGUGAAAUCCCACGGCUCAACCGUGGAACUGCUGGGUAUACUGCGUUUCUUGAGCCAUUUAGGGGCGAGUGGAACGGAUGGUGGAGCGGUGAAAUGCAUAGAUAUCAUCCGGAACGCCUGUGGGGAAGACGACUCGCUGGGAAUGUGCUGACGCUGAGACACGAAAGCCAGGGGAGCAAACGGG